GUCUUCCCUAGCAGAGCUAAAUGCACCAUUCUCCCUGCAAACUCUGGAGAUGAUGACAUCUUCCCACAUGGUUUCCAUAGCAUCCGUUCCUGAAGAGCCCCAAUAUGGUCCUUGGUCAGGGCGAUCCGCCCAGCUCCCCUAGAAAGUUGGCAACCUAGCUAGCCAAAAGAAGCAUCCCCUUUUCCUGAAACUUACUCUGUCCGUGGUGCUGAACCAUUGUACUGAGAUCCGCCCAGACGGGCGCUGUCAGCCGCUGAAAAAAGAUAUUCCCUGACGCUGCCCAAAUCAGAACGGUGUAUCUUUUAUUUACUCACGUCCUCAAAGAGCAGCAAGCCUUCUCCAUCUUAAUUUGACUCUACCGCAGAGCAGAGUUACGCUGGCGUGAUGGGAGGAGAUCAUGGGCAGAGAGGAAAAACUAAUAGCAGCAUUGCUCACCUGAGACCUGAGAUGCUCCCAUGAGUUUUGAAUAUGCUCUGUUCCUUACGGCAAAGACACCAUUUUUAAAAGUACUAUUCUUUUGACUUUGUUGUUACCCAAGGGUUCUGUGACAUUCCGGCCCCUCCGUUUAAAAACCAGCAGAUUUGAGAGCAGUAAAUCUUCAAAACGGGGAAUUUACAUUGUUUUUCAGCUGACCGACUUCCAGGACAAGGACUCAACCGCAUCUACCCAAAUACCAUGGUACUGCUUGCGCCCUUUGCCACCGGAUCCUCCCCUUCCAAUGAGACUUUCUGAUUGUGUCUACCAACUCUCCUAUUAGGAAACCCGUGGGUUGCAUGCAGCUAUUCUGUUGUAUUCUCAUUCUCACUCUCCCUCCCUUCUCUCACUCUCACUCUUGCUGGAGGCAAGCCACUACCAUUCUGCUGAGAAGGAAAAACCAACAACUACUUUAAGAGAUUAAGACAACAUGCGCAAUCCUCGCCGUUUUUAGCAAUCACUAUUUAAAUCUGGCAAGAACCGACAACAGUCUUUGCAAGAAUGGAAUCAGUAAAACAAAGGAUUUUGGCCCCAGGAAAAGAGGGGCUAAAGAAUUUUGCUGGAAAAUCCCUCGGCCAGAUCUACAGGGUGCUGGAGAAGAAGCAAGACACCAGGGAGACGAUCGAGCUGACGGAGGAUGGGAAACCCCUAGAGGUGCCCGAAAGGAAGGCGCCGCUGUGCGACUGCACAUGCUUCGGCCUGCCGCGCCGCUACAUUAUCGCCAUCAUGAGCGGCCUGGGCUUCUGCAUCUCCUUCGGCAUCCGCUGCAACCUGGGCGUGGCCAUUGUGGACAUGGUCAACAACAGCACCAUCCACCGCGGGGGCAAGGUCAUCAAGGAGAAAGCCAAAUUCAACUGGGACCCGGAAACCGUGGGGAUGAUCCACGGUUCCUUCUUUUGGGGCUACAUCAUCACCCAGAUUCCGGGAGGCUACAUCGCGUCUCGACUGGCAGCCAACAGGGUUUUUGGAGCUGCCAUACUUCUUACCUCUACCCUGAAUAUGCUAAUUCCAUCAGCAGCCAGAGUGCAUUAUGGAUGUGUCAUCUUUGUUAGAAUACUGCAGGGACUUGUUGAGGGUGUUACCUACCCAGCAUGUCAUGGGAUAUGGAGCAAAUGGGCCCCACCUCUAGAGAGGAGUAGACUGGCAACCACUUCUUUCUGUGGUUCCUAUGCCGGCGCUGUGAUUGCAAUGCCUUUAGCUGGCAUUCUUGUGCAGUACACUGGCUGGUCUUCAGUGUUUUAUGUCUAUGGAAGCUUUGGAAUGGUCUGGUACAUGUUUUGGCUUUUGGUGUCUUAUGAAAGUCCUGCAAAGCAUCCUACUAUUACAGAUGAAGAACGUAGGUACAUAGAAGAAAGCAUUGGAGAGAGUGCAAAUCUUUUAGGUGCAAUGGAAAAAUUCAAGACUCCAUGGAGGAAGUUUUUUACAUCCAUGCCAGUCUAUGCAAUAAUUGUUGCAAACUUCUGCAGAAGCUGGACUUUUUAUUUAUUGCUUAUUAGUCAGCCAGCAUAUUUUGAGGAAGUCUUUGGAUUUGAAAUUAGCAAGGUUGGCAUGCUAUCUGCUGUGCCACACUUAGUAAUGACAAUUAUUGUGCCUAUUGGGGGGCAAAUUGCAGAUUUUCUAAGAAGCAAGCAGAUUCUUUCAACUACAACAGUGAGAAAGAUCAUGAAUUGUGGUGGUUUUGGCAUGGAAGCCACACUACUCCUGGUUGUUGGCUAUUCUCAUACUAGAGGGGUAGCAAUCUCAUUCUUGGUACUUGCAGUGGGAUUCAGUGGAUUUGCUAUAUCUGGUUUCAAUGUUAACCACUUGGAUAUUGCUCCAAGAUAUGCCAGUAUCUUAAUGGGCAUUUCGAAUGGUGUUGGCACAUUGUCAGGAAUGGUUUGUCCUAUCAUUGUUGGUGCAAUGACAAAGAAUAAGUUGGAGAAAUGAAGAUUUGAAGAGGUAAAGAAUUAACUUACCAAGGUCACAAAGUCGUAAGAAUACAGACGUGCUUUUCUGGUUUAACUACGCCAAGUCAAAAAAAGCGAGGUGUGGAAUUAACUGCGUUGAAAAAUGAAAACUUUUGAUCUCAGUCUCCUUCACACUGUAAAUUAUUGAGGACCCCAAGGACUUUCAUUUUUUCCUCCAGUCCUCUACCAGUGCCUCCCAGUGGCCUAAACCAGCAGGAGCCAUAUGAAAAAGAAGUCUGGAAGAUGCUAGUCCUUCACAGGAGGAUACGAGAAUGGCAACGAGAAGAUCUGAGGACUACGAGAUUUAGGACGAACAAAUCUAGGAGCCAGAAGAUAUACCUGCUAGUAGACGCUAUGAUCUUAAAAAAGUCUUGAACCAACGUGACCUUCAGAAUUUUUCAUCUGUAAAAUGAAACAUUGGGCUAGACGGUCCCUGAAACUUCUUAAAGUCCAUGAUUCUGUGGUGGAAGGGGUUGGUACAGCUUUGAUUUCAUUGUCUGUUUAUACCUGACUGAGUUCUCUUGUGACAUGUGACUGUCCUUCUUAAGAAACUGAAAGACAACCAAGUAGCUGAUUGUUGAGAUACCGAAAUGUUUUAGGGAAUGCAGAGAAUACAGCCUACCUGAUAUAAAGUCUGACAGCAACAACAAAAAUCUCUCUGGGCAACUGUAUUUAAUAAUUAAAACAAAAGGUUUGGAGGAAAUAUUCAAAUUGCCACUUUAACAGGAGAGUAACCUGUGGUGAGAAUGCUUCAACAGUGAUAUGGACUGGCAUUAGAGCUAAAGAAUCCCAGCCUGAUUUGAUAGUGACUCUAGCUGUUUUAUGUUCCUCAGGAAUCCCAGGAUGUCUUUCAAACAAACAAACAAAACAAACAACAACAAUGACAUAUUAUCUUCAUCACUUAUCACAGAUGAUUUUCCCAGAAUUGUUGGCUCAAAUUUUAGAAGAAAUUCUAGAAACUGAUUCAACCUAAAAUUAAAACCUGCUAGCUCUUCAUGUAAAUCAUGGAAUCACUUGUUUGCUGCUGAACCGCAUGUUGACAUUGAAGUACAGAUGUUUGAUGAUGAAUUCAUUCCUCUUUGUAUAACAGCAACUACAUGAUAAACCAGGGAAAAAAUGGCAGCAUCUUUUAUAUCUUCAUUUGUUUGAAACAGAUAAAAAUAUUUCAUUUUCCUUAUUCGAUGUCAAAUUACCCAAUAAUGACAAAAUCUAAACUUACAUUUUCAAGGGAUUUUUAAAGUGUAUUAAAUUUGUAAAGGUAAAGCAAUACUUUAAAGUAAACACACAGUUUGAAAUAUAUCAGUUAUGGAGCCAACUGAGAUGUCAAUAAUUUAGUAGUUUUUCUCUCCAAAAAUAGAGAAUAUUCAGAAGCAGAUCCAGAAAGUUUCAUUUUAACCUCAGUUGGAACCAGGAAGAGGAACUGAGGUUGCUUACUAGCAGAUCAUAAUACAGUGGACACUGACAUUCUUCCACACAUUAAGUCAUUUGUACUUUCUCUUUGACAAAUUUAAAAUCUCAGAAGUUAAUUGUGGGAGCUAGUCCUGAUUCACCAAGAUCAACUAGCAGUUGCCGGAACAUUUUCUUUCAAAAGCUUGAAAAUGAAUCAAGUUUACUUGUUAAGAUGUCUAGCAAAUAGCAAGAUAAACAUGGUAAUACACUCAGUUUUAAAUAUAUAAGUUUAUAUCAAUAAUAUAUUUAAAAUAGCGUACUUUAAGGUUACUAAUGAAUAUAUGAAGCAAAACGAAAAAUGUUAGUUUGCAAGAGAAACUGAUUUUAUUUAAUGACUUAUUUUACUUCAGUAAAAUAUUGGUUAAGCAGAAUAAUUGAAAAAAGAAAUAUCUGAGUAAGCAAAACUUUGAUUUGGCUAGAAAAUAAAGUAGAUUUUUCUUGCACUUGUAGCCUCACUGUUGAGAAUUUUAAGAAAUGAUCCUCCUUGUUUAAAUUCAAUUGGCCUUUAAUGGGCACAUAACACAUGCUGGGCAUUACAGUGGGAGGCUGAAAAGAAUACCAUAAAUAAAUAAUUCCCCUGGCUCUUAAGGAAUUCUUAGACUCAAUGAAUAGAGUACACUGAACACAAGUGAAUUUUAUAUAUAUAUAUGUAUAUAUAAAUUCUAUAAUCCUUCAGACUUAAAUUCAGUUUCAGAAAAAAAAAAAAAAAAAAGCUCAUUUUGAGUUUCGAUUUCCAUUGCCUUAGCCUGUAGAUGGAAGUGGAGAAGAGCAGAGGAAGGAUCACUGGCUUUAGAAGAAGUCUUGAGGAUGAAACGAAAUAAUGUGUGUGAAUGCUCUUGGCAUAAUAUAUGCUACUUUGCUAAUAUCAACAGCAUUAAUAUUUAUUUAUUUAUUUAUUUAUUUAUUGUAUCAGUCACACGGCAGACAUUAUUAUGUUGACUGUCUCUCUGAUAAGGGCUUGCAGAUGGGAAGGAAGUUGGAUGUCACAGACUUUUUCUUGAUUAAUCAACCAAACAUGCAUUGUGUAUCUAUCAGAGUAAGACUGAACUACAUAGGUUAAGUCAUACAAACCAGGUUGCUCUGUGAACACAUAGGAAGGACAUCAAAACCAAAUGUUGGGUGCCAGAAACUGAUUCCUUAAGGAAACCAAUAUUUGAAGAAUGAGGUGAAUGUACCAUGUGAAUGUGGGUACGUUUUUAGACAGUUGUUUGCAAUUUAGAGCAGUUGUUUCUAUGAAACAAAUGAAGGAAUUGUUGGUUUCAGAAACUCAGACAUCAGUUAAAUUUUGAAGUUAGACCAAAAAAGCCUGUAAUUAUUUAUAAACUGAAAUAGAAUCCUUCUUUUAUAUAAAAUUUUGUCACAAACUAUUGGAAUGAGCUUACCUAGUAUGCAUUCUAUAUAAUAUAAUUAUUGAGAAAUGGAAUCUUAGCACCUGUCUGCCAGUGUUAAAUGGCAACUAAGGAGCAUUUAAUUCAUCAAAAAUGUACUGAGUUUCUAUUAAAUUGAUAGAGCUGUCAGAGGAUGAGGGAAUACAAAAGAGAUUUCAAGUUGUCUCUUUUCCAGGAACUUACAAUCUGCUGGGAAAGACAUAGAUACAUACACACAUAACUAAACAAAAUUAGGUUUAAAAUAGAAUACGUACAAGUGUUACACAGGUGAGUAAAGUGGAGCAUUUAGUUUUACAAUAUGUUAAGGAUUUAGAAGCAAUAAUAAACUAUGAAGAUAAACGGUGAUAGUUUAACACUGUCUCUAAUUCUCCAUUUGGCUCUGGAUAUUUAAAAUCACUUAAGCAGAAUUGUUUGUAUGCCCGGAUGUCAGAAUAUUGACUGUCUCUUUCCCCUUCCCAUUUGUCUUACAAUAAUUUUUUUACCAUCAAAUCUUUUCUGCCUAUGUUCCUGGAUUUUUAUAGCCCAACAAAAGGGUGUAUCUCAGCAUUCUGUCAGAAUUGCCUAAUUUAGGAUCUUCAAAUUUGAGACGUGGAUCUUAGCUGAGGGGAUGGAGAGCAUUUAAGGUGUUCUUUGCUUUGGAUGUCAUGACAAAUAUAUGACUUCAGAAAGAAUAACAAAAACUUCGAUUUCUGCUAAACCUUUCAAAGAAGAGAUGCUUUGAAUCUAUUAAAAUCUCAGUUAAAACUCUGACUCUUGUGUAUGUUUCAAUUGGUUCUUAUCCCAUUCUCUCUUUGGUUCACACUUCACCAGCCACACUGGCUUUCCUUCUGUCCCUCAAAAAGCUGAUUGUUAUUUCUUUACUCCUUAGCCUCUUUAUCCUGACUGUCUCCAACUCCUCCAGAUCUUUGGUCAGUUAGCUACUUCUCAUCAUUUAGGUUUCAGUCCAAACGUCACCUUUUAGAGAGAUCUUGCCUGACCAUCUAGCCUUUUGUGUCAUUUGUUUUCAGGAACAGGUAAAAGAAAAUGUGGUUCAAGUUUAUGUUAACAGCAGGAAAUAUGAGAUCCUACAAGAGGAGAUCCUGAAAUCAGGUGAGUUUCAGGUGAUUGACUUAGUACCCUAACAAGUUCGUUCCUUUUUUAACUCCAGCUUCCAUAUCAUUAUAUUCCUCCUACAGCUGGUUCCCCCUUCAUGAUGGUAAAAAUGGUUUCAGGAAAAUUCUGGGCCACAAGGCUCCUUGUUAAUACCAUAAAACUAUUAAUUUGUUAUGGUUCUUCCAUAAAAUUUUUUUUAAAACUUUCUCUGAUGCCUGCAGUAAACUGGUUUUACAUUUUUUUGACUGGAACUGAGUCACAUGAUUAUGCUUGAACCAAUCAUUGAUAAAGUAGAUGGGAAUAAUUUAUAAAUAUGAGAUAUGAGUCAUCACCAUUUGAACUGAAAUCCUUCUCCAAAUCAUGCAUUGCUGUUAUUCAUCAAGAGAUGAUGAAGUAAGUGCUGGAGAUUCAACCAAAAUGUCUACAUUUCCCUCAAAUAUAAUCUUAUUGUCUUUUUGAGUUUUUACACUCACCACAA
This is an RNA transcript of Cercocebus atys (sooty mangabey), 6827 nucleotides long. It is a transcript of the gene named solute carrier family 17 (vesicular glutamate transporter), member 6, with no coding region annotated. The record is from RefSeq and is a predicted model, not a curated record. The transcript has 13 exons. NCBI's taxonomy places the organism in Eukaryota, Metazoa, Chordata, Mammalia, Primates, Cercopithecidae.